RNAcentral lists this long non-coding RNA (450 nucleotides) under Gossypium barbadense (sea-island cotton). Its description in RNAcentral is "long non-coding RNA (GBAR_LNC001612)". Lineage: Eukaryota; Viridiplantae; Streptophyta; Magnoliopsida; Malvales; Malvaceae. The record is from RNAcentral.
UCAUGGGAGUGUCAGACGCGUGGAAGGCCAGUGACUGGCGCCCCGAGCGGUGGUGGCGCACGUGGGAAGGCUGGUGGCUGAAGGUUCGCGGCUGACAACUUUGGUGGCUGCUGCAAUUUUUUUUAACAUAGUGGGGUAUUAUUUGGGCUUUAGGGUUUGUAUUUAGUUGGGUUUGGUCUUUUAGUUUGGGCCGGGCAUAAUUGGGCUUGUACAGACGACAUGGCUCAUUCCUACUCUGAUAUCUCUACCAAUAAAGAAGAAGAUUAAAGGCAAAAUCUAGAACCUCAACCUCAAACUUAGACAACCUAGGACCAACUCGGUUAUCAUACCAACAAUUGUAGCCUCAAGCUUAUCAUAGAAUCUUUAUGAUAUUGUGCCUAGUUGAUAUGUUUGUGUAAUUUAUUUUGAUAAAUUAUUGGACAUGAUACAACAAAUUUUAGUGUUCAUUGC